GCGGCGUGCCUAAUACAUGCAAGUCGAGCGAAUUGAUGGGAGCUUGCUCCCUGAUAUUAGCGGCGGACGGGUGAGUAACACGUGGGUAACCUGCCUGUAAGAUUGGGAUAACUCCGGGAAACCGGAGCUAAUACCGGAUAAUAUGUUGAACCGCAUGGUUCAACAUUGAAAGAUGGUUUCGGCUAUCACUUACAGAUGGACCCGCGGCGCAUUAGCUAGUUGGUGAGGUAACGGCUCACCAAGGCGACGAUGCGUAGCCGACCUGAGAGGGUGAUCGGCCACACUGGGACUGAGACACGGCCCAGACUCCUACGGGAGGCAGCAGUAGGGAAUCUUCCGCAAUGGACGAAAGUCUGACGGAGCAACGCCGCGUGAACGAUGAAGGCCUUCGGGUCGUAAAGUUCUGUUGUUAGGGAAGAACAAGUACCAGAGUAACUGCUGGUACCUUGACGGUACCUAACCAGAAAGCCACGGCUAACUACGUGCCAGCAGCCGCGGUAAUACGUAGGUGGCAAGCGUUGUCCGGAAUUAUUGGGCGUAAAGCGCGCGCAGGUGGUUUCUUAAGUCUGAUGUGAAAGCCCACGGCUCAACCGUGGAGGGUCAUUGGAAACUGGGGAACUUGAGUGCAGAAGAGGAAAGUGGAAUUCCAAGUGUAGCGGUGAAAUGCGUAGAGAUUUGGAGGAACACCAGUGGCGAAGGCGACUUUCUGGUCUGUAACUGACACUGAGGCGCGAAAGCGUGGGGAGCGAACAGGAUUAGAUACCCUGGUAGUCCACGCCGUAAACGAUGAGUGCUAAGUGUUAGAGGGUUUCCGCCCUUUAGUGCUGCAGCAAACGCAUUAAGC
RNAcentral lists this ribosomal RNA (844 nucleotides) under Bacillus sp. (in: firmicutes). RNAcentral's name for it is "bacterial SSU rRNA". It matches the Rfam family "Bacterial small subunit ribosomal RNA", at positions 39 to 865 of the family's 1533-position model. Lineage: Bacteria; Bacillati; Bacillota; Bacilli; Caryophanales; Bacillaceae. The record is from RNAcentral.